AGAGUUUGAUCAUGGCUCAGGACGAACGCUGGCGGCGUGCCUAACACAUGCAAGUCGAGCGAGGAACUUCGGUUCCUAGCGGCGGACGGGUGAGUAACACGUGGGUAACCUGCCUUGUAGAGGGGGAUAGCCUUUCGAAAGGAAGAUUAAUACCGCAUAACAUUAUUUUGUCGCAUGAUAGAAUAAUCAAAGGAGCAAUCUGCUACAAGAUGGACCCGCGGCGCAUUAGCUAGUCGGUGAGGUAACGGCUCACCAAGGCGACGAUGCGUAGCCGGCCUGAGAGGGUGAACGGCCACAUUGGAACUGAGACACGGUCCAGACUCCUACGGGAGGCAGCAGUGGGGAAUAUUGCACAAUGGGCGAAAACCUGAUGCAGCAACGCCGCGUGAGUGAUGAAGGCCUUCGGGUUGUAAAGCUCUGUCUUCUGGGACGAUAAUGACGGUACCAGAGGAGGAAGCCACGGCUAACUACGUGCCAGCAGCCGCGGUAAUACGUAGGUGGCAAGCGUUGUCCGGAUUUACUGGGCGUAAAGGAUGCGUAGGCGGAUAUUUAAGUGAGAUGUGAAAUUCCCGGGCUUAACUUGGGAGCUGCAUUUCAAACUGGGUAUCUAGAGUGCGGGAGAGGAGAGUGGAAUUCCUAGUGUAGCGGUGAAAUGCGUAGAGAUUAGGAAGAACACCAGUGGCGAAGGCGACUCUCUGGACCGUAACUGACGCUGAGGCAUGAAAGCGUGGGGAGCAAACAGGAUUAGAUACCCUGGUAGUCCACGCUGUAAGCGAUGAAUACUAGGUGUGGGAGUUGUCAUGACUUCCGUGCCGCAGUUAACACAAUAAGUAUUCCGCCUGGGGAGUACGGUCGCAAGAUUAAAACUUAAAUGAAUUGACGG
This 883-nucleotide ribosomal RNA is filed under the name uncultured bacterium. Its description in RNAcentral is "bacterial SSU rRNA". It matches the Rfam family "Bacterial small subunit ribosomal RNA", at positions 8 to 916 of the family's 1533-position model. The record is from RNAcentral.